CCAUAGGCUGGGAUAACUGCGAGUCGAGCGCCUUCAGGCUAUGGUGAAGGCGCGGCGAACGGCUCAGUAACACGUGGCUAACCUACCCUUUGGACGGGGACAACCCCGGGAAACUGGGGCUAAUCCCCGAUAGGUGAGAAAGGCCUGGAAUGGUUUCUCAUCUAAAAGGCGUUUAGACCAUGCUUUUAGGCGUCGCCAAAGGAUGGGGCCGCGGCCGAUCAGGUUGUUGGCGAGGUAACGGCUCACCAAGCCUAUAACCGGUACGGGCCGUGAGAGCGGGAGCCCGGAGAUGGGCACUGAGACAAGGGCCCAGGCCCUACGGGGCGCAGCAGUUGCGAAAACUCCGCAAUGCGCGAAAGCGUGACGGGGCUACCCCGAGUGCCGUCCGCUGAGGACGGCUUUUCCACGGUGUAAGGAGCCGUGGGAAUAAGGAGAGGGCAAGCCUGGUGUCAGCCGCCGCGGUAAAACCAGCUCUCCGAGUGGUGGGGAUGAUUAUUGGGCUUAAAGCGUUCGUAGCCGGCUCAGCAAGUCUUCCGUUAAAUCCAGCGAUCUAAUCGUUGGACUGCGGAAGAUACUGUUGGGCUAGGGGACGGGAGAAGCCGACGGUAUUCUCGGGGUAGGGGCGAAAUCCUAUAAUCCCGGGAGGACCACCAGUGGCGAAGGCGGUCGGCUAGAACGCGCCCGACGGUGAGGGACGAAAGCUGGGGGAGCGAACCGGAUUAGAUACCCGGGUAGUCCCAGCUGUAAACUAUGCGGGCUAGGUGUUGGGGCGGCUACGAGCCGCUUCAGUGCCGCACGGAAGCAAUUAAGCCCGCCGCCUGGGAAGUACGGCCGCAAGGCUGAAACUUAAAGGAAUUGGCGGGGGAGCACCACAAGGCGUGAAGCUUGCGGUUUAAUUGGAGUCAACGCCGGG
This 913-nucleotide ribosomal RNA is filed under the name uncultured archaeon. RNAcentral describes it as "bacterial SSU rRNA". It matches the Rfam family "Archaeal small subunit ribosomal RNA", at positions 30 to 922 of the family's 1478-position model. The record is from RNAcentral.